RNAcentral lists this transfer RNA (55 nucleotides) under Mastigeulota kiangsinensis. RNAcentral describes it as "tRNA-Ser". The record is from RNAcentral. Lineage: Eukaryota; Metazoa; Mollusca; Gastropoda; Stylommatophora; Camaenidae.
AAGAAGUAAGAAGUUGGGGCUGCUAACCGCGACUUGGGAGUAAUUCCGUUUCUUU